Molecule: ribosomal RNA, 85 nt
Filed under: Araucaria scopulorum
Lineage: Eukaryota; Viridiplantae; Streptophyta; Pinopsida; Araucariales; Araucariaceae
Description: partial 5.8S ribosomal RNA
Rfam family: 5.8S ribosomal RNA
About the family: 5.8S ribosomal RNA (5.8S rRNA) is a component of the large subunit of the eukaryotic ribosome. It is transcribed by RNA polymerase I as part of the 45S precursor that also contains 18S and 28S rRNA. Functionally, it is thought that 5.8S rRNA may be involved in ribosome translocation.
Source: RNAcentral
UGCAGAAUYCCGUGAAUCAUCGAGUCUUUGAACGCAAGUUGCGCCCGAGGCUUCGGCCGAGGGCACGUCUGCCUGGGCGUCGCAC